RNAcentral lists this ribosomal RNA (658 nucleotides) under Erysiphe kenjiana. RNAcentral describes it as "eukaryotic LSU rRNA". It matches the Rfam family "Eukaryotic large subunit ribosomal RNA", at positions 209 to 880 of the family's 3401-position model. Lineage: Eukaryota; Fungi; Ascomycota; Leotiomycetes; Helotiales; Erysiphaceae. The record is from RNAcentral.
AGGGUGAGAAUCCCGUAUGUGGCCCGAGGCCUGCGCCCGUGUAAAGCUCUUUCGACGAGUCGAGUUGUUUGGGAAUGCAGCUCAAAAUGGGUGGUAAAUUUCAUCUAAAGCUAAAUAUGGGCCAGAGACCGAUAGCGCACAAGUAGAGUGAUCGAAAGAUGAAAAGCACUUUGGAAAGAGAGUUAAACAGUACGUGAAAUUGUUGAAAGGGAAGCGCUUGCACCCAGACUUGGGCGCUGCUGAUCAUCCAGAGUUCUCUCUGGUGCACUCGACAGCGCACAGGCCAGCAUCGGUUCGGGUGGCUGGAGAAAGACUGGAGGAACGUAGCUCCCUUUCGGGGGAGUGUUAUAGCCUCUGGUGCCAUGCAGCCCAGCCGGACCGAGGACCGCGCCUUCGGGCUAGGAUGCUGGCGUAAUGGGUGUAAGCGACCCGUCUUGAAACACGGACCAAGGAGUCUAACAUCUAUGCGAGUGUUUGGGCGUAAAACCCAUACGCGGAAUGAAAGUGAACGUAGGUGAGAACCCUUUGGGGUGCAUCAUCGACCGAUCCUGAUGUCUUCGGAUGGAUUUGAGUAAGAGCAUAGCUGUUGGGACCCGAAAGAUGGUGAACUAUGCCUGAAUAGGGUGAAGCCAGAGGAAACUCUGGUGGAGGCUCGCAG